Molecule: long non-coding RNA, 838 nt
Organism: Pan troglodytes (chimpanzee)
Lineage: Eukaryota; Metazoa; Chordata; Mammalia; Primates; Hominidae
Exons: 2
Source: RefSeq, a predicted model, not a curated record
GGCUGCCCGAGCCAACAGGGGCAACUGUUUCGGAUCUCCUUCUAUCUGGUGGAGGCUUAUGUUCUUUUGUUCUUUGCAAUAAAUCUUGUUGCUGCUGACUAUUUGGAUUCACACUGCCUUUAUGAACUGUAACACUCACUGUGAAGGUGUGCAGUUUCACUCCUGAAACCAGUGAGACCACGAACCCACUGGGAGGAACGAGCAACUCCAGAUGCCCUGCCUUAGGGUAGUAACACUCACCGCGAAGGUCUGCAGCUGCACUCCUGAACCAGCAAGACCAUGAACCCACCAGAAAGAGAAGGAAGAAACGCCAAACACAUCUGAACGUCAAAAGCAACAAACUGCAGACACGCCACCUUUAAGAACUGUAACACUCACCGCGAGGGUCCGCGACUUCAUUCUUGAAGUCAGGAUGGAGUCUCCCUCUGUCGUCCAGGCUGGAGUGCAAUGGCACGAUCUCGGCUCACUGCAACCUCCACCUCCCGGGUUCAAGCAAUUCUCCUGCCUCAGCCUCCUUAGUAGCGGGGAUUACAGGCGCCCGCCACCAUAGUUGGCUAAUUUUUGUAUUUUUAGUAGAGAUGGGGGUUUCACCAUGUUGGUCAGGCCGGUCUCGAACUCCUGACCUCAGGCGAUCCGCCCGCCUCGGCCUCCCAAAGUUGGAUUAUAGGCGUGAGCCACCGCGCCCGGCCACCUAAUCACAUUUUCAAGACAGCUGUGGCUACUUGGGACUCUCAUCAGCGGCUCCCGAAAAAUUUAAAAAAAUCAGUUACUGUGAAAAUUUAUAUUAAACUAAGGCCAGACUCUGCAAAGAAAAUAAAACUAUGUAAUUCCAAGGCUA